UACGUAGGGGGCGAGCGUUGUCCGGAUUUAUUGGGCGUAAAGAGCGUGUAGGCGGCCAGGUAGGUCUGCUGUGAAAACUCGAGGCUCAACCUCGCGACGUCGGCGGAAACCAUCUGGCUAGAGUCCGGAAGAGGAGAGUGGAAUUCCCGGUGUAGUGGUGAAAUGCGUAGAUAUCGGGAGGAACACCAGUGGCGAAGGCGGCUUUCUGGCCUGUUCUUGACGCUGAGGCGCGAAAGCUAGGGGAGCAAACGGG
This 253-nucleotide ribosomal RNA is filed under the name uncultured bacterium. RNAcentral's name for it is "partial 16S ribosomal RNA". It matches the Rfam family "Bacterial small subunit ribosomal RNA", at positions 524 to 776 of the family's 1533-position model. The record is from RNAcentral.